AAGCCAGCCAGUGAGUCUGCUUACCUAAAUGUAUAUAUUCAGAGCUUUAGAUAAAGCUGGAAAUAAUAGUGCUAUGAUAUGAGCAUUAAGGAUAAUCAAAGUUAUAAAGGUCCCUGAGAAUGAUUACAACA
Dipodomys ordii (Ord's kangaroo rat) is the source of this 131-nucleotide small nucleolar RNA. Lineage: Eukaryota; Metazoa; Chordata; Mammalia; Rodentia; Heteromyidae. The record is from Ensembl.